UACGUAGGAUGCAAGCGUUGUCCGGAAUUAUUGGGCGUAAAGAGCGCGCAGGCGGUCUAUCAAGUCAGAUGUGAAAUAUCCCGGCUUAACCGGGAGGGGUCAUUUGAAACUGGUAGACUAGAGUACAGCAGAGGAUAGCGGAAUUCCCGGUGUAGUGGUGAAAUUCGUAGAUAUUCGGCGGAACACCAGUGGCGAAGGCGACUCACUGGCCCGAUACUGACGCUGAGGCGCGAAAGCGUGGGGAGCAAACAGG
RNAcentral lists this ribosomal RNA (253 nucleotides) under uncultured bacterium. Its description in RNAcentral is "partial 16S ribosomal RNA". It matches the Rfam family "Bacterial small subunit ribosomal RNA", at positions 524 to 776 of the family's 1533-position model. The record is from RNAcentral.